RNAcentral lists this ribosomal RNA (253 nucleotides) under uncultured bacterium. RNAcentral describes it as "partial 16S ribosomal RNA". It matches the Rfam family "Bacterial small subunit ribosomal RNA", at positions 524 to 776 of the family's 1533-position model. The record is from RNAcentral.
UACGUAGGGUGCGAGCGUUAAUCGGAAUUACUGGGCGUAAAGCGUGCGCAGGCGGUUCGUUGUGUCGGCGGUGAAAUCCCCGGGCUCAACCUGGGAAUGGCCGUUGAAACUGGCGAACUGGAGUGUGGCAGAGGGGGGUGGAAUUCCGCGUGUAGCAGUGAAAUGCGUAGAUAUCAGGAGGAACACCGGUGGUGUAGACGGCUCUCUGGACCGUAACUGACGCUGAGACACGAAAGCGUGGGUAGCAAACAGG